AUUGAACGCUGGCGGCAUGCCUUACACAUGCAAGUCGAACGGUAACAGGUCUUCGGAUGCUGACGAGUGGCGAACGGGUGAGUAAUACAUCGGAACGUGCCCGAUCGUGGGGGAUAACGCAGCGAAAGCUGUGCUAAUACCGCAUACGAUCUACGGAUGAAAGCGGGGGAUCGCAAGACCUCGCGCGGACGGAGCGGCCGAUGGCAGAUUAGGUAGUUGGUGGGAUAAAAGCUUACCAAGCCGACGAUCUGUAGCUGGUCUGAGAGGACGACCAGCCACACUGGGACUGAGACACGGCCCAGACUCCUACGGGAGGCAGCAGUGGGGAAUUUUGGACAAUGGGGGAAACCCUGAUCCAGCCAUGCCGCGUGCAGGAUGAAGGCCUUCGGUUGUAAACUGCUUUGUACGGUAACGAAAGGUACCUUCUAAUAAAGAAGGCGUCAUGACGGUACCGUAAGAAUAAGACACCGGCUAACCUACGUCGCACGCAGCCGCGGU
RNAcentral lists this ribosomal RNA (498 nucleotides) under uncultured bacterium. RNAcentral describes it as "bacterial SSU rRNA". It matches the Rfam family "Bacterial small subunit ribosomal RNA", at positions 30 to 521 of the family's 1533-position model. The record is from RNAcentral.